CAGCCGCCGCAGUAAUACGUAGGGGGCGAGCGUUACCGGAUUCACUGGGCGUAAAGGGGGUGUAGGCGGCUCGGUAAGUCGGGUGUGAAAUCCCACGGCUCAACCGUGGAAUUGCGCCCGAAACUGCCGAGCUUGGGGCCGGUAGAGGGGGACGGAACUGCCGGUGUAGGGGUGAAAUCCGUAGAUAUCGGCAGGAACGCCGGUGGGGAAGCCGGUCUCCUGGGCCGCGCCCGACGCUGAGGCCCGAAAGCUAGGGGAGCAAACCGGAUUAGAUACCCGGGUAGUCCUAGCCGUAAACGAUGCCCACUAGGUGUGGGGGAGUAUUUCCUCCGUGCUGUAGCUAACGCGUUAAGUGGGCCGCCUGGGGAGUACGCCCGCAAGGGUGAAACUUAAAGGAAUUGGCGGG
Molecule: ribosomal RNA, 406 nt
Filed under: uncultured microorganism
Description: bacterial SSU rRNA
Rfam family: Bacterial small subunit ribosomal RNA
Source: RNAcentral